AGUGGCGGACGGGUGAGUAACACGUAAGAAUUUGCCUUUAGGAGGGGGACAACAACUGGAAACGGUUGCUAAUACCCCAUAUGCUUUCGAGUGAAAUGGAUUUUUCCGCCUAAAGAGAAGCUUGCGGCUGAUUAGCUUGUUGGUGAGGUAAUGGCUCACCAAGGCGACGAUCAGUAUCUGGUUUGAGAGGAUGAUCAGACACACUGGAACUGAGACACGGUCCAGACUCCUACGGGAGGCAGCAGUGGGGAAUUUUCCGCAAUGGGCGAAAGCCUGACGGAGCAAUCUCGCGUGAGGGAUGGCGGCCUAUGGGUUGUAAACCUCUUUUUUCAGGGAGGAACAAAAUGACGUGUACCUGAAGAAUAAGCAUCGGCUAACUCCGUGCCAGCAGCCGCGGUAAGACGGAGGAUGCAAGUGUUAUCCGGAAUCACUGGGCGUAAAGCGUCUGUAGGUGGUUUAAUAAGUCAACUGUUAAAUCUUGAAGCUCAACUUCAAAAUCGCAGUCGAAACUAUUAGACUAGAGUAUAGUAGGGGUAAAGGGAAUUUCCAGUGGAGCGGUGAAAUGCGUAGAUAUUGGAAAGAACACCGGUGGCGAAGGCACUUUACUGGGCUAUUACUGACACUCAGAGACGAAAGCUAGGGUAGCAAAUGGGAUUAGAUACCCCAGUAGUCCUAGCCGUAAACAAUGGAUACUAGAUGU
Molecule: ribosomal RNA, 700 nt
Filed under: uncultured bacterium
Lineage: Bacteria
Description: bacterial SSU rRNA
Rfam family: Bacterial small subunit ribosomal RNA
Source: RNAcentral